CCUACGGGCGGCUGCAGUGGGGAAUAUUGGACAAUGGGGGGAACCCUGAUCCAGCCAUGCCGCGUGUGUGAAGAAGGCCCUCGGGUUGUAAAGCACUUUCAGUGAGGAAGAACGCCUGGUGGUUAAUACCCAUCAGGAAAGACAUCACUCACAGAAGAAGCACCGGCUAACUCCGUGCCAGCAGCCGCGGUAAUACGGAGGGUGCGAGCGUUAAUCGGAAUUACUGGGCGUAAAGCGCGUGUAGGUGGCUUGAUAAGCCGGUUGUGAAAGCCCCGGGCUCAACCUGGGAACGGCAUCCGGAACUGUCAAGCUAGAGUGCAGGAGAGGAAGGUAGAAUUCCCGGUGUAGCGGUGAAAUGCGUAGAGAUCGGGAGGAAUACCAGUGGCGAAGGCGGCCUUCUGGACUGACACUGACACUGAGGUGCGAAAGCGUGGGUAGCAAACAGGAUUAGAUACCCCAGUAGUC
RNAcentral lists this ribosomal RNA (465 nucleotides) under Vreelandella stevensii. RNAcentral describes it as "partial 16S ribosomal RNA". It matches the Rfam family "Bacterial small subunit ribosomal RNA", at positions 338 to 795 of the family's 1533-position model. The record is from RNAcentral. Lineage: Bacteria; Pseudomonadati; Pseudomonadota; Gammaproteobacteria; Oceanospirillales; Halomonadaceae.